GUACCUAGAAAUAAAUUUUGUGAUUUUUCGAUACCAUUUGCCUAGUGAUCGAAGGGGCUCAAAAUUAAUAAUUUUAAUGAUCGUGGUGAGCCGUUUGAAAGUUUAACAGUGUAGAAAUAUUCAAAUCAUAUAAAAUUUUGAUAGAAAAUUAUUUAUACUAUAAUAAAACAAGAUUAAAAUCUUUAAUUUAAAAUUUUAAUAUCAUAUCAUCACAUUUUGUAAGAUUUUUAUUUUCAGCCGUUGAUUUUGAGCCACUUCGAUCACUAGGCAAAUGAUAUCGAAAAACCGCAAAAUUUAUUUUCUAGGUACUUUAAAUAUUCUAAAUCAAGUCUAACGGAGCCGAUCGUCGAUUCGAAAGUCCCAACAUUGAAAACGACUUGGAAGCACGGAGAGUUCCGUGCUUCUAGAACCAUACCAGCCUCACUCUCUCUCUAUAUAUAUAUAUGGAGCACAGCUACUGUACUUUCAGAAAUAUAAAGGAGUUAGUGCUUCCAACCUUUUGGGCCUUGGAUCAACUUUUUUGACUAUUUCUGACCUAUUUUCUCCUCUUUUCUUUUCAUAACCCAAACGAUAAAAUAAAAAUUUACUUUUCUUUUUUCUUUUCUCUCUAUCCAAAUAAAGCAUCAGUUUUUUCCCAAUAAAAUAUGUGCCCUAUCAUAGAUUU
Molecule: long non-coding RNA, 664 nt
Filed under: Ananas comosus (pineapple)
Lineage: Eukaryota; Viridiplantae; Streptophyta; Magnoliopsida; Poales; Bromeliaceae
Description: long non-coding RNA (ACOM_LNC019461)
Source: RNAcentral